UGGGGAAUCUUGGACAAUGGGGGCAACCCUGAUCCAGCGACGCCGCGUGGGUGAUGAAGGCCUUCGGGUUGUAAAGCCCUUUCACCGGGGACGAUGAUGACGGUACCCGGAGAAGAAGCACCGGCUAACUCCGUGCCAGCAGCCGCGGUAAGACGGAGGGUGCUAGCGUUGUUCGGAAUCACUGGGCGUAAAGGGCGCGUAGGCGGCGUCGCAAGUCGGCUUGUGAAAGCCCGGGGCUCAACCCCGGAGGUGCAGCCGAGACUGCGGCGCUCGAGGCCGGAAGAGGAGGGUGGAAUACCCAGUGUAGAGGUGAAAUUCGUAGAUAUUGGGUGGAACACCGGUGGCGAAAGCGGCUCUCUGGUCCGGUUCUGACGCUGAGGCGCGAAAGCGUGGGGAGCAAACAGG
Molecule: ribosomal RNA, 405 nt
Filed under: Fusobacteriota bacterium
Lineage: Bacteria; Fusobacteriati; Fusobacteriota
Description: Fusobacteria bacterium partial 16S ribosomal RNA
Rfam family: Bacterial small subunit ribosomal RNA
Source: RNAcentral